RNAcentral lists this ribosomal RNA (245 nucleotides) under uncultured Eubacteriales bacterium. RNAcentral describes it as "uncultured Clostridiales bacterium partial 16S ribosomal RNA". It matches the Rfam family "Bacterial small subunit ribosomal RNA", at positions 524 to 768 of the family's 1533-position model. Lineage: Bacteria; Bacillati; Bacillota; Clostridia; Eubacteriales. The record is from RNAcentral.
UACGUAGGGGGCGAGCGUUAUCCGGAAUUACUGGGUGUAAAGGGUGCGUAGACGGGACUCUAAGUCUGAUGUGAAAUACCAAGGCUCAACUUUGGAACUGCAUCGGAAACUGGAGACCUAGAGUGCGGGAGAGGAAAGCGGAAUUCUCAGUGUAGCGGUGAAAUGCGUAGAUAUUGAGAGGAACACCGGUGGCGAAGGCGGCUUUCUGGACCGUAACUGACGUUGAGGCACGAAAGCGUGGGUAG